Molecule: ribosomal RNA, 253 nt
Filed under: uncultured bacterium
Lineage: Bacteria
Description: partial 16S ribosomal RNA
Rfam family: Bacterial small subunit ribosomal RNA
Source: RNAcentral
UACGGGGGGGGCAAGCGUUGUUCGGAAUUACUGGGCGUAAAGGGCUCGUAGGCGGCCAACUAAGUCGGACGUGAAAUCCCCAGGCUCAACCUGGGAACUGCGUCUGAUACUGGAUGGCUUGAAUCCGGGAGAGGGAUGCAGAAUUCCAGGUGUAGCGGUGAAAUGCGUAGAUAUCAGGAGGAACACCGGUGGCGAAGGCGGGUCUCUGGGCCGAUACUGACGCUGAGGAGCGAAAGCGUGGGGAGCGAACAGG